GGGGCAGAGAAAGGCAAAAGGGGACUGGGAAAAGUAGGAACUUCUUUAGCAACUGUUGUGCUGGUUUUAACUGGAUGGAUGUCCCCUCAAGUCAAGCCCUGCGAAGCUCAACCACAUCCUCACAAUUUCCCGACAACUUAUUACUAAAAGCAAGCAUUUAGUCUGUCAACAAGGAAUACCAAAGAAGACCACCUGAGACCACAACAAAGCAGGACUAGAAAGGCUUCAAGAACCCAAACCACCAGUGAGUGCAAACAUAUAUGGCUCCUGGACAGGGAGGUGCCUCAGGUGAGAUUGAGUGGCUGGCAACAGUCCAGCAGUUUAACAGUUGAGGCACUGCCUCUAGUCUGUUU
This is a long non-coding RNA of Erinaceus europaeus (western European hedgehog), 353 nucleotides long. RefSeq lists it as uncharacterized. The record is from RefSeq and is a predicted model, not a curated record. Lineage: Eukaryota; Metazoa; Chordata; Mammalia; Eulipotyphla; Erinaceidae. The transcript is spliced from 3 exons.